RNAcentral lists this ribosomal RNA (293 nucleotides) under Klebsiella pneumoniae. Its description in RNAcentral is "partial 23S ribosomal RNA". It matches the Rfam family "Bacterial large subunit ribosomal RNA", at positions 212 to 543 of the family's 2925-position model. The record is from RNAcentral. Lineage: Bacteria; Pseudomonadati; Pseudomonadota; Gammaproteobacteria; Enterobacterales; Enterobacteriaceae.
CGAGGAAAAGAAAUCAACCGAGAUUCCCCCAGUAGCGGCGAGCGAACGGGGAGCAGCCCAGAGUCUGAAUCAGCUUGUGUGUUAGUGGAACGGUCUGGAAAGUCCGACGGUACAGGGUGAUAGUCCCGUACACCAAAAUGCACAGGCUGUGAACUCGAAGAGUAGGGCGGGACACGUGGUAUCCUGUCUGAAUAUGGGGGGACCAUCCUCCAAGGCUAAAUACUCCUGACUGACCGAUAGUGAACCAGUACCGUGAGGGAAAGGCGAAAAGAACCCCGGCGAGGGGAGUGAAA